RNAcentral lists this ribosomal RNA (253 nucleotides) under uncultured bacterium. RNAcentral describes it as "partial 16S ribosomal RNA". It matches the Rfam family "Bacterial small subunit ribosomal RNA", at positions 524 to 776 of the family's 1533-position model. The record is from RNAcentral.
UACGUAGGGAGCAAGCGUUGUCCGGAAUCAUUGGGCGUAAAGCGCGCGUAGGUGACCUCAUAAGUCCGCUGUGAAAGUCAAAGGCUCAACCUUUGAAAGCCGGUGGAUACUGUGAGGCUAGAGUACGGAAGAGGCGAGUGGAAUUCCUGGUGUAGCGGUGGAAUGCGCAGAUAUCAGGAGGAACACCAAUAGCGAAGGCAGCUCGCUGGGACGUUACUGACACUGAGGCGCGAAAGCGUGGGGAGCGAACAGG